UUGAGAGUUUUUCAUAGCUUGAUCACUAGAUGGAGACAAUAAAAUAUUGGUCCGCAUAUGCUCUUUCUUAAGAACCAAUGAGUUUUUAUCCAUUGUUCGCAUUUCUUAAUUAGAAGACAUGGUAAAAUUCGAUCUUGUGCUUUUAGGAGUUUGCAUACGUUGAUUAGCAUAAACUGCAUUCUUAUGGAAAGAUCCCACCUCAUUUUCAGAAAUCCCUAAAGAGGGGCACAAAGAUCUAGGCGUUUGCUCCCGUUCCUUCCUUAUAGCACCUGGACCCAAGAAAUCAUAUUAGUAAAAAAUAUGGCAUUUAAUUAUAUAUGCAAUUAAUUAACUGAUAGCUCAAUGAUAUCAACUACAGUAUAAAUUAGCAACAUUCAAAAAUCUGCAACUCCAACAAGAUAAUAGGAAUCAAACAAGCCAUGAUCCAACAUACCCAAAAUUUAUGUGAAUCAAAAGGUUGCUUAAGACGAAUAAAGGGGAAAUUUCUUUGCAGAAAUUCUAAGAAAGCAAUAACUUACUGUCAAAAUUUCACUUAAAUAGUGUUGGUCAAGGUUAAAGGUUGAAGAAAC
This 569-nucleotide long non-coding RNA is filed under the name Nicotiana tabacum (common tobacco). RNAcentral's name for it is "long non-coding RNA (NTAB_LNC004368)". The record is from RNAcentral. Lineage: Eukaryota; Viridiplantae; Streptophyta; Magnoliopsida; Solanales; Solanaceae.